CGUUAGCGAUGUGCACUUUCAAAUUUCGGAGAAUUAUGGCCCUGUUGAAGCCUAAAUGGUCAGGAGAGUAACUUUCUAAGCAUAUCCUUAUGCAGGCAAAGUAUUGGUAACCUCUGGCAAGGUAAAGUCGACAAAAGCACACAGUAAAAUCUGAUGGUGGAAAGAAUCUGCUUACUGCUUGAACAUGAUUGAUUUGUAGAUAAUCUUCUAAGUUCUGAAUACGUUUUGCUGAUGUGACAUACCUAUAAAGCUGCCCAACUUGGAAUGUGUAUAGCUUUGCCUAUAGCAUUUCCCCUAUAUUAUUUAAACAAAUAUUUGUUUGAAAGUAAUUCCCAACAUCUACUGCUCUUCUAGGCUGAUCAACUCCAAAAUGUUACCUCAAAAUCUGUGCCAACUUUGCAAAUGUUUGUUUCUGAGUAAGUUGAAACUGAACUCAGUAAAUGUGGCUGGUUUGGCUGGAAGGAUCCAUUCUUCAUCAGAAAAGCUUUCUGACUCUGAGUCAGAGGAACAAACUGUCCAGAAAUGUGAAACUGAAGAGCUGCCUCAAAAUAGAGAGAACAGUAAUUCUGGAAGAUUGCAUGUACCAGUGAUGCUGGAGGAGGUUGUUAAUUGUUUAUCCCCUCAGCCAGGUCAGCGCUUCCUGGAUAUGACAUUUGGAGCUGGAGGUCACACAGCAGCUCUUCUGGAGAGAGCCAGAGACAUCACAGUGUAUGCCCUGGACAGGGACCCCACAGCCCACAGCAUCGCUCAGCAGCUGGCAGCAGCUACCCGAACCAGCUUCAGCCUCUCCUGGGAAGGUUCAGCCAGUCAGAGGCUUUGUUAAUCUCAUCUGGGGUUGAGCCAGGCACUCUGGAUGGAGUUCUCCUGGAUGCUGGCUGUUCUUCCAUGCAGUUAGACACACCUGAAAGAGGCUUCUCCCUGCAGAAGGAUGGGCCCUUGGACAUGAGGAUGGAUCAUGACAGGUGCCCUGGCAUGGCCACGGCCGCGGAUGUGGUGAACGCGCUGGACCGGCGGGCGCUGGCGGCAGUGCUGAGCGCGUACGGCGAGGAGAGGCACGCCAGGAGGAUCGCCUCUGCCAUCGUGCAGGCACGCAGCAUCUACCCCAUCACCAGCACCAGGCAGCUGGCAUGCAUCGUGGCAGGUGCUUUUCCAGCAUCAGCACUCUACGCACGGAAGGACUUGCUUCAGAGACCUGUGCAUGUUGCUACUAAAACUUUCCAAGGCCUGAGGAUAUUUGUGAAUGAUGAGCUCCAUGAACUCUUGAUAGGGCUGAAGACAGCUGAGAAGUUCCUGAGGCCUGGAGGUCGCCUUGUAGCCCUGUCCUUUCACUCCCUGGAAGAUCGAAUCAUCAAACGUUUCCUUCAUGGCAUUGACAUGACAGAGAAACACAACCUUGGCUCAAAGCAGAAGAUCAGACAGGCUCUGAAAAAUGCCUCCAGAGGAGAAGACGCACAAGGAUCUCCCUGUGGAAAAUCCAACUCCAAGUGGAUUUCUAUACAGAAAAAAGUUCUCACACCUCAGGCCAAGGAUAUUCAAACAAACCCAAGAGGAAGGUCGGCCAAGCUAAGAGCUGCUAUUAAACUCUAAACCAAAAUAUAUGAUUACAUGAUUGUAUCAUUUCCUGAAAUUCUGUUUUCCAGAAUGCUAAUUGGACAGAUAUUGCCAAACAAAAAAUACAAGGAAGGCUGUGAGAAAACACUUCUUUCUUACCUUUGUGCUUCUUUGUGCUUUGGUUAGGAAGCAGUAUAGAGCAUGAAAAUGUAAACUAAAUGCAUAUAAGUGGGUGUCACUAAUUAUACAAAAAAGACACCUUUUUUUAAAAGAGCAUCAAACACCAAUUUUAUAAAAUUGGCAGGUUUGAUGCAUUUAUAGUAUUCCCUUAGAUUAAUUUCAAGAUCCUGGCAUCUAAAUUCAGUAGCUAAUUGAGACAUAUUUUUAUGGGAGUGGAUUUCACACACCUGAUUCAGAUGUCUGCUUUAGUCUAGAGUAAGUUUAAACUCACCUAAGAAUUUUUGAUAUAUCUGUUUGUGUAUCCCAGCUAACUUGUUGCAUGAAUGCCAUUGGGACAAAAGGUAAUUCUGAAAUAAACUGACAUCAGCAUCAGCGUCUGUCCAGGAAUUUGUAAAUGGAAUCUUAGCUUUUUUAAACCAUAACUCCUGUGCACAGAUCCUCUACAACUUUUAGGUGCUGAUGGAAUUAUAAUUAACCCAUCAAAAAAGCAAUGUUGUGGGUCUUAUGAAGUAUUCUUCUUUGCUUGUGAUCAUUUAUUGAGAGGUAAGUAUUAAAUUAUUUUAGGAAAAGCCGACUCUUAACACUAGCUUUUUGUUUGAGUGCUAUACUCAGCUGUAGAACAUUCAGCAUAAUUUCUUGUUUAGUUACUAUGAAUUAAAUUUAGUUAGGGGUUUAUAUUUUAUCUUAAGAG
RNA transcript from Camarhynchus parvulus, 2422 nucleotides. It is a transcript of the gene named methyltransferase like 15, with no coding region annotated. NCBI's taxonomy places the organism in Eukaryota, Metazoa, Chordata, Aves, Passeriformes, Thraupidae. The transcript is spliced from 6 exons. The record is from RefSeq and is a predicted model, not a curated record.